AACGAACGCUGGCGGCGCGCCUAAUACAUGCAAGUCGAACGAGAAUGUGUAGCAAUACACAUGUACAGUGGCGAACGGGUGAGGAAUACAUAGGUAACCUACCCUCGAGUGGGGGAUAACUAGCCGAAAGGUUAGCUAAUACCGCGUACGCUCCCUGGACUGCGGUUCAGGGAGGAAAGCGAUACCGUGGGUAUCGCGCUCUUGGAUGGGCUUAUGUCCUAUCAGCUUGUUGGUGAGGUAACGGCUCACCAAGGCUUCGACGGGUAGCUGGUCUGAGAGGACGAUCAGCCACACUGGCACUGCGACACGGGCCAGACUCCUACGGGAGGCAGCAGUAAGGAAUAUUGCGCAAUGGGCGAAAGCCUGACGCAGCGACGCCGCGUGGGGGACGAAGGUCUUCGGAUUGUAAACCCCUUUCGGGAGGGAAGAUGGAACGGGUAACCGUUCGGACGGUACCUCCAGAAGAAGCCACGGCUAACUUCGUGCCAGCAGCCGCGGUAAUACGAAGGUGGCAAGCGUUGUUCGGAUUUACUGGGCGUACA
This 542-nucleotide ribosomal RNA is filed under the name uncultured soil bacterium. RNAcentral describes it as "bacterial SSU rRNA". It matches the Rfam family "Bacterial small subunit ribosomal RNA", at positions 28 to 564 of the family's 1533-position model. The record is from RNAcentral.